GAUGAACGCUAGCUACAGGCUUAACACAUGCAAGUCGCGGGGCAGCAUGGGGGUUGCUUGCACUCCCCGAUGGCGACCGGCGCACGGGUGAGUAACGCGUAUCCAACCUGCCCUUCACCACGGGAUAACCCGGCGAAAGUCGGACUAAUACCGUAUGUUGUCCAUUGACGGCAUCCGAUUUGGACGAAAGGUUUGGCGGUGAGGGAUGGGGAUGCGUCCGAUUAGCUGGACGGCGGGGUGACGGCCCACCGUGGCGACGAUCGGUAGGGGUUCUGAGAGGAAGGUCCCCCACACUGGAACUGAGACACGGUCCAGACUCCUACGGGAGGCAGCAGUGAGGAAUAUUGGUCAAUGGGCGUAAGCCUGAACCAGCCAAGUAGCGUGCAGGAUGACGGCCCUAUGGGUUGUAAACUGCUUUUAUGCGGGGAUAAAGUGGCCCACGUGUGGGUUUUUGCAGGUACCGCAUGAAUAAGGACCGGCUAAUUCCGUG
This 490-nucleotide ribosomal RNA is filed under the name uncultured bacterium. Its description in RNAcentral is "partial 16S ribosomal RNA". It matches the Rfam family "Bacterial small subunit ribosomal RNA", at positions 28 to 507 of the family's 1533-position model. The record is from RNAcentral.